Molecule: ribosomal RNA, 440 nt
Filed under: uncultured bacterium
Lineage: Bacteria
Description: partial 16S ribosomal RNA
Rfam family: Bacterial small subunit ribosomal RNA
Source: RNAcentral
CCUACGGGAGGCAGCAGUAGGGAAUAUUGCUCAAUGGGGGAAACCCUGAAGCAGCAACGCCGCGUGCAGGAUGAAGGUUUUCUGAUUGUAAACUCCUUUUUUUAGAGAAGUUAAUGACGGUAUCUGACGAAUAAGCACCGGCUAACUCCGUGCCAGCAGCCGCGGUAAUCCGGAGGGUGCAAGCGUUACUCGGAAUCACUGGGCGUAAAGAGCGCGUAGGCGGGCUAGCAAGUCAGAUGUGAAAUCCUAUGGCUUAACCAUAGAACUGCAUUUGAAACUGUUAGUCUAGAGUAUGGGAGAGGUAGGUGGAAUGCGUGGUGUAGGGGUAAAAUCCGUAGAGAUCAAGAGGAAUACUCAUUGCGAAGGCGACCUGCUAGAACAUAACUGACGCUGAUGCGCGAAAGCGUGGGGAGCAAACAGGAUUAGAUACCCUUGUAGUC